RNAcentral lists this long non-coding RNA (504 nucleotides) under Daucus carota (carrot). RNAcentral's name for it is "long non-coding RNA (DCAR_LNC002847)". The record is from RNAcentral. Lineage: Eukaryota; Viridiplantae; Streptophyta; Magnoliopsida; Apiales; Apiaceae.
AAAAGUUAAUAAUCAAAAUGGAAGACUAUUAGUGAACUUAUGUAGGGGCCAGUACCAACAGAACUAGAUAAGAAGGUGUUGACACCNCAGUACCAACAGAACUAGAUAAGAAGGUGUUGACACCUUUUUUUUUUUGCUAAAUGUGUUGACACCUUUGAUAUCAAAUACAUUAUAUCAGGUGUAUUAAGAUCAAUUAGUAUUUAUAUCAAUUUAAUAAAGUCUAUAUCUUCAUCUACAAGACUUAGCCUAGCGGUUAUCCCUCAUUCUUAGUUACCAAAGGUCUAGAUUCAAGCCUCAGAGGAGAUGUGUGCGAGAGUAUUUAAAUUUUUAGUAAUUGAUGUUGGUUUGGGUUGCGGUAACCUUGUAGUUUAGAGAAAUAACACAAGUACAUUUAGUUUCAUCAAAAAGACAUAGGUUAUAGGCUCAACAGGUAAUAUAAGUGUCCUCAUACUCGAGUACUGACAAAAGGAUAUAAUUGAAUGAACAUAGCUCGCAUGUAACCUU